CAAGAGAUAACUGAGUCAGGGAGAGUGGCACGGACUGGAGAGGCUGGAGUCUGAUCAGCCGGGAGAGCCCCCGACACGGCUGUCCACGGUCCCUGGGCCCGGAUCCCUGCCCCUGCAGUUCUAAGUCACAGGUCCUGUCAUUUAGUGCAGCCCGACCCCGUGCACCCGCCGCCCUCUGCAUUAGGCUCCUGAUCCCCUCCUGGCAGGUCACUCUUUGGUUCCUAUUCAGCUUUCAUGAGUCCCCCUAACCGUGCUGGUGACAAGUACAGAUUAAUUUCUCGGCCUGACUUGGAUGGUUUUCGUCUUCGAUUCCUCCGUAUCCCCAGGGCAGCUCCAGGCAUGUUGGUGUCUUAAUUCAUCAUCUGUGAUUUUACAAAGGGAUCGCCCAGCAUGGGGACACUUCCACGUCACACAUCUCACGGCACAGGCCACCUGAGAGAUCUCCCUGCAGUGUCCACACUGACCUAGGAUGUCUCCCUAGUUCCCCUGCUGUGUCUACACUGAUCCCAGUUGUCUCCUUUCUUCCCCUAUUUUUACUGACCUGGGAUGGCUCGCUGCUUCCCCACAUGUGUGCACACAGACCUGGUGGUCUCCCCAGUUACCCUGUUGUGUCUACACUGAGCCUGUGGUGUCUCCCUAGCCACCCCUGGCCCUACACUGGCCACAUGAGCACAGUCAUGUCUUGCUAGAGAAACAGCCUGCAGCAGGUGCUCAGCGCCCUCCCUGCCCGUGAGCCCACUGUGCUCAGGCGGGAGCACCUGCUCCAGGUCUUGAGGCAUCAAUCCAGGACCCUUUCCUGCCUGCGAAUCUAUUUCAGACAAAACCUCUUACACCAGCAGCGUAAUGAGCCACCCCUGCUCCAGGAUCAAGCCCUCCAGGAACCUCAGUGCCCACGUCCAGGUGAACCCUGGAGACCGGCCCACAUUGAAGAGGAGCGAGUGGGGCCAAUGGUCACAGAGAAAGGCCUGCCGAGUCUCAGACACCCCGCCCUGCAUCUCAGGCUGCAGCCAGGAGAGGUUCAGGCACCUCCCACAGUCGAGGCCUCUGAGGCCCCCAGGUUGUUGAGAUACAGGCAGCACAGGCCAUUGGAUAAGCCACAGAUCUCCAUGUCUGAGUUCGGUUACUGGAAGACUAUUGUGAUCUUUUCGUGAUGUCCUGUUUCCUUGAUUCUUCAUCUUCCGUGGAGUUUUGUGUUGCUGUUUCACAUUUGAUGUAUCAGUCACAUUCUCCAGGCUUUACCAGCCGCCUUCAGGUGUGUCUUCUCUGACCAGUUGUGUCCCAAAUUCCCCAGGAGUAUCUAUUCUGACUUGGAACAUCUUACUAGUUCACCAGGUGUGACAACCCUGACCUGGCAGACUUCUUUGUCUCCGAGAUACGUCUACCAUGAAUUUGAAUGCCUCUAUAAUUCUCCACGUGUCCACACUGACAUGGGAUGUCUCCCUAAUUACCCAGGUUUGUCUACAGUGACCUGGGAGGUCUUAAUAUUUCCCCAAAUGUGUCUACAGGGAUGUUGGAUGUCUACCACUUCUCCAGGUGUCUCCACUAUAAACUAGGAUAUCAUCCUAAUUCAAGAGGUGUGUCUGCCUGACCUGGAAUGACUCUAUUGUUAUGUAGUAUGCAGGUUUAUCUACUCUGACAUGGGAAGUCUCCCCAGUACCAAGAUGUGCCUAAUUGACCUGAUGUGUCUCCCCAGUCUCCCAGCGUGACUUCCUUGACCUGGGAUGUCUCCCUAAGUGCUCAGGUGUGCCUAUCCUGAAGUGAGAUCUCCUCCUAAACACCCAGUGAAGUCAUCUGUCGGUGGGCCAGUGUUUGUGAACAUAUAUUUGAGAGCUUUGAGAAAUUAUAACACAUUGGGAAGACUACAGUGAUGACUAUGAGAAGAAUAACACCCAAAGUUUGGAGCGCACUCUGAAGCCAAGGUCUUCAUGUCCCAAAUCAGCUGAAAUCAAACAGGUUGAAGAAUGAUUCAGGGUUAAGUUUAACCUGCUUAAGAGCCUAGAAGCAAGGUUCCCUAGGUUUGGCGUUGUUAACCAGAGACAGGGAAAUUGACUCCCACGAUUACGGAGUCUGGCACAAUAGAGAGAGGGCUGAGUCUGCUCCAGAGAAACUGAGGCACUGGAAAGCAGGGAGAAGUUUGUGACGGGCAGAACUACAGGAUCAUCAGCCUCGUGACAAAUCCAAUGGUCAGUUGCAUGACCUCCUUUGUGAUGGUAUGAAAGAUGAGAACAAUGUCAUUAUCUUUCCAGAACAGAGCAAGCAAAAAAGGUGGACAAAAGAAUCAUAAAGACCUUCAUGAUAUAUAAAUUAAGGCAAGAAUUAGGAAAAAGAUAAUCAAAGAGGGGAGGAGGAAUGGAAACAAACUUUCUUGAUCCAAUGUCAUUGGAGGAAGCAGUCUACCACGUGGUGUCAGCUGCUUCUCUUCCUGGUCAAGUUAGUUUUGAUUCUCCGCCAUCAAUGCAGGACCAGAGGGCAGAUCGUUCCACUUGUGAAACGUGCACCCAAGGUUUGACACCUUGUAACUUGGCAGUGGUGUCAGCAUUCAAGAGCGCUUGGUAGAAUCUUUCCAUGAAUCUCUUUGAAGACGAAUCCCUUUUGCAAAAGCAUCAAAGUAAAUCAAUAACUGUCUGUAAGUGACAAAACCUGAUGAGAGUUCAUUGAUUAAGGAAAUCUAGUCAUUUCUGUGGCAUAGGUUUUAACCUCAUAACUGGGAUUAUGAUAACAUUCUACCUGGAUAUAUGAGACUCCUAGGAAUUUCAUAUAAUUUCUGGAACAUUUAUAUUAAUAACAUGUAUCCAUACAAAUAUAACCUAAGAAGCUUUGGCAUCCCUUCUUAUUUCACAAUGCUUUCUAUAUAAUUUAACAUAUCAAAUAAAUCUAAUUAGUUUAACAUCUUACCAGGUAAAAGACAUAUCCUUUGAGAUUUUUCCAGGGGCCCUCUGGAAAAUCUCAAAGUUAGUUUGAAGUCAAAAAAGGCCUCCAUUUAGAAUUUGAUCUUGACAAGUUGUGAAAAAUGUCAAAACAUUUGAUUAAAUUGGAUCAUGGAUUAUUAUGAAAUAAUACUUAAUUAUCUAUUUAACCAACGUGACAAUAGAAGAUUUUCAAGGCAAAUAAAGAAGGUUACAGUUGUGAACAAAAUUUAGCUCUUUUAAUAUUGAGAAGACUCAGCUCUCCCAAGUGAUCAAAGACCUGAUAAAGAUAACAUGAAGCACAAGAAAUUCUGGUAAGAUACAAAAAUCUUUGCUUUCCAGAUAGAUUGCCCAAAAGGCAAAGAAAAACCUUUACAAUUUCUUAUCAAGGGCAGACCCAUAGUCCAAGAAAAUUUUGCCCUUUUCACAGAGAAAAAACCAAAUUCUAGUUUUGCGUUAGUG
Long non-coding RNA from Equus asinus (donkey), 3368 nucleotides. The record is from Ensembl. Lineage: Eukaryota; Metazoa; Chordata; Mammalia; Perissodactyla; Equidae.